UUGCCUGUGAUUCUUCUUCAUAUAGAAGAAAACUGACUUGGAGCCAGGCUACCAGCAGGGAAUAAAUGCCCUUUCCUGUUCCCUUUAUUCAGAGAUAAGUCUUGGAUUGAUGCCACUUCUGUAAAAGGAAUCAGACACAGUUCAUGACGGAAGAGAGAAGAGGGAAGUGGCAGCCUGCAUCCUGCCGCAGGGCCGAGAGGAAAAAGCCGGCCUGAUGCCCCCUGGCAGGCAUCUUCAUGCCUCCCUCCAGCUACUGCCAUCUCGUUCUUUCUCCGAUUCGUUGAAUUCAUCAAGGAUGCACUGUCAAAUCUAAUAGCUCUUUUCAAGACAGCUCUGAACAUCCACGGGACGUGCCUUCUGCCAGCAACACCGUUUUCUUUCCGUUCUGCUGGAAGAAUCUUCUCAUGACUCAAAUACACCUUUUCUGUGAAGCUCCCCGCUCCCCCAGGCACUUCGUUGUCCACACUCCUUAAUCCCCUUGAUACACCAGGAAUGGCUUAACGACAGCCAUUGUCACACUGUUCCAGAGCUGUCUUUCUUCCACCUGUAUCGGGAAAUGCUAAUGAUGAAAAGUCUGGGGGGCAUUCUUACCCCCCCCCCCGGUUUUUGAAAUGUUGGAGGGACCCAAUUGGUUGCAAGGAAAAAAAAAAUAGAAAUCUGAUACUUAGUCUUGGUAUAUAUAAAUAUACGGAAAACAAAUGCUGAUACUAGUUUAUUUUAUAUAAUUUACAUAAUAUGUAACUGUUUAGUGGUGGUAUGUAUGUAUAUCACUAGUUUAUUCAGUAAUCAGGUUUUCAUGUCAUCUUAGGCUUAAAUUUAGACUGAAGGAAAGUGCCUAUGUUAUUUGCAUGUCCUAGUGAGGUUUGCAGUGGUAUUAUUUUGAAAAUGUCAUAGGAUUUUGGGAUGAAGAGAUGAAAAUUUGUUGGCAUUUGGAUCUGUAUUCCUUCUGCAAAGUUUAGGCUAUGUCUUCCAAGCAAAACCCUAGAGAAUUUUUUUUUUUAAUAUCCAAGAGUACUUUGAUUUUAUAUCAUUUAGCUAAGAGUUAAAUGUGAGAAAAUUUGGCUAAAUUGAAUUCAGAAUAAUUUGAGUUCAAAUUAUUGGCAAAUUGAUUGUUGACGCUUUUGAAACAAGAUAAUUCAAAUAUAGAGGACAGUUCUCAUUUUAACAAUGAGUGGGCUACCUGGGUGAUCGUAAUUCUGCAUAAAAGCGUCAUACCCUGAUGCUUUGUGACAGGUACAUUGUAGUUUAUUUUUGUAUAUUAGGUAGCACUAUUAUGCUGAGCAAUACCAGGUCUAAUUGUAUUCUUCAGUCUUAGAGAAAAUGCAGUCACAAGUUGGAUCACUAUGGUGUGUAUCACUGGUUCUAACACGGAGCUGGGGUUGUUACAGCAAAGAGUGGAAAUAACAGG
This 1408-nucleotide long non-coding RNA is filed under the name Sus scrofa (pig). RNAcentral's name for it is "lncRNA (ENSSSCG00050054610.1)". The record is from RNAcentral. Lineage: Eukaryota; Metazoa; Chordata; Mammalia; Artiodactyla; Suidae.